This 286-nucleotide long non-coding RNA is filed under the name Setaria viridis. Its description in RNAcentral is "long non-coding RNA (SVIR_LNC004836)". The record is from RNAcentral. Lineage: Eukaryota; Viridiplantae; Streptophyta; Magnoliopsida; Poales; Poaceae.
UUCAAUAGAAUCGGUGCUUAAAUGAUGCUCCUUCGAGCUCCAUCAAAUUAUCGCGGUCACGAGCACAUCGCCGGCGGCGACCCCGCGCGAGUUGCAUGCUGAUCAUUAAGAAAUUCGCCGGUGGUUGCCCCUGAAAGCGAGAUCUAAUCGUCCAUCGGUGGCUCCCCCUCCAGGCCUCCACGGACUACCGGUUGUUUCAUGGCAAACCAGCCAACCAGGCGAAUCAAAGAUGGGCCCAUGCAUUAUGCAUCGUUUGAUGAGAGCUUUGAAAGACGAUCGGCCUCCG